GGGGGGGGGGGGGGGGGGGGGGGGGGGGGGCAGGGCGAGGGGGGGGGGGGGGCGGGUGUGGGGGGCUCGGGUGGCGAACGGGGGAGUAACACGUGAGUAACCUGCCCUUGACUGUGGGAUAACUUCAGGAAACUGGGGCUAAUACCGGGUAGGAGCUCCUGCUGCAUGGUGGGGGUUGGAACGUUUCGGCGGUUGGGGAUGGACUCGCGGCUUAUCAGCUUGUUGGUGGGGUAGUGGCUUACCAAGGCUUUGACGGGUAGCCGGCCUGAGAGGGUGACCGGCCACAUUGGGACUGAGAUACGGCCCGGACUCCUACGGGAGGCAGCAGUGGGGAAUAUUGCACAAUGGGCGGAAGCCUGAUGCAGCAACGCCGCGUGCGGGAUGACGGCCUUCGGGUUGUAAACCGCUUUCGCCUGUGACGAAGCGUGAGUGACGGUAAUGGGUAAAGAAGCACCGGCUAACUACGUG
RNAcentral lists this ribosomal RNA (468 nucleotides) under uncultured bacterium. Its description in RNAcentral is "partial 16S ribosomal RNA". The stretch from base 52 to 468 matches the Rfam family "Bacterial small subunit ribosomal RNA", at positions 39 to 507 of the family's 1533-position model. The record is from RNAcentral.